Hylaeus anthracinus is the source of this 3413-nucleotide long non-coding RNA. RefSeq lists it as uncharacterized. The record is from RefSeq and is a predicted model, not a curated record. NCBI's taxonomy places the organism in Eukaryota, Metazoa, Arthropoda, Insecta, Hymenoptera, Colletidae. The transcript is spliced from 3 exons.
CGUCCUUGUUGGUAUCGCGGCAGCGCGAUGCAGCAGCUUAUUGAUAUAUUCCAUUUCCCGUGGACACGUAGAGUUCACUGUGCGUGUCUAGCGACCAGUUCGUCGUCCACUGAAGCGAAUCAGCUGACGCCUAAGCGAACCUCGCGGAUUUCUUUCAGAAAUUGCGCAACUGUUGCUGUUCGCUGCGACUAAUAAUAAAAUAUAGGGGCAGGGAGCGCGAAGGAUUUUGUUUUGCUGGAUCUUGCGCCAGUCUCGAGCGAGUAUCCAUGCCAAGAACAGUUAUGAGCGAACCGGUGCUCGUCUAGUCGAGGCAAAAACUUGCACGAAGAAUCAUCGACACUGUUACGUGGUCUCAGCGCGCCGCAACAAGUCACCGUGGUAAUUUGCAGGAGACACCUUGGAUAUCGACAGUUUGUACAGAUUUUCUAAUUCUAUUCCCGUUUUUAGAUCUAUUUUAAUCCCAAUCUGGUUAAUUAUAAUUAUAAUCUGUUAAUCUUACUGUGUUUGUUUUUACUUCGCGUAUGUUUGAUAAAGACCAUCUCAAGGCAAAUUUCUAAAUUGGGCAUCCCUAUCUUACCAAAUUGAGUUUCGAAAUGGUGACCUUUAAUCUCGUGCAUCGUGUCUCGGGGGGGAGAUUCGCGCCUCACCUUACGUAAACCACUGAUUUCAAGAGAAUCUUUAGUCUAUCGAUCGUUGAGCACUUGGUGCUCAGUGUGAAUGUAAAACGAAGCGUUUCGGAGCGAUUCAAAGUAGAGUUUGGACUACUUGUCGACUCUUUUUAUAUUCGAACACUUCAGUGAUUCAAAUAUUCCACAAAUAUGAUUGGAGUGUUUUACACGUAUGAUGAACAUUUAAAUCGUAUGAUGUGGACUAUAUAAAUCAAGUUCUUCAAAUUCAUUAUUCUUAUUUGAGCUACCAUAUUCGACUACACUGUUUGAAUAGCGGCACUUGAAUACUGAAACAUUGCUUUGUUCGUAACACUUGCACGCCUAUAAAAUAUACUAAGCUUAAUUUUAUUCGGAUAGUCCCAGCCCUAAUUCAAAGCGAUUUAUUACGAGAUUACCUUGCGGACAAAGUUCCCCAUGACUUCCCAAAGGACCUCCACUUUCGGCUGUCACUGGCGGGCCGAUACGAACCCAUAUUUACACGCGGGUUCAUGGAACCCCACGUCGUGAACUUUCUCACUUCCCCACCUAUGCAUCCUCGCCCCUGACACGCUUAUUUUCGACCAUACCGAAACAUCUUUCGUUUGCCAUUCACCCCUUUCCGCUUUUGUGUAUUUUUUUCCCGCCCGUUUCUUCUCAUUUCUACAGCCGUAGGUUUGCUCCAGUUUCCCCGUUGAACAAGCUCCUCGGACGGAACCGAUUGUUUUUAAAAAGGGGGCCAUUGUUCACUUUAUCGCAAUCAAUGCGGAGUGUUUCCUCGGAAUAAUUGUGAAGUUUUGUUAACCUUGGAGUUAAAAUGGAACUCCGCUUUAUUAGAAAAUAAAGUGGAUUAAUUUCCUAAUAACGUACAAUUUUAAUAGACCUCCAAAAGGCAUAGCCUUGAUUCGAGGCGGCGCCUCUUAGACAGAAUUCACCGUAUACUGGCCUACUUUGCCUGAUCAAAUUUGGUAUGGUGACUUUUUUCAAGUGGGGACACAUCGAUGCCAAAUUUGUCAAGAAACCUCAAGAAGAACACUUUUACACAGGCAAUUAAGGCGCCUUUCAAAAGCACGAAACUGAUUGACAUCAUACUGUAAACAGACGAACGCGAAUACCGUAUGUAAGUGAACAAGUGCAACGAAACCAGGGAUGGAUCUACCAUAAAACUAUAAAAUACUAUUCGAACGACGAUUCGACACCUUUGGUAGGGUCGAACAAUUUCAUAAUAAUAAUUUUCUAUUCGUAAUUCUCAUUUCAGAAAAGGAAAGAGCUCGAUAUAAUUAGCUCCCAUGCCUUGAUUAGUCUAGAUCCGUCACUGAGCGAAACAAAGGAGCAGGCGUGCAUUGUUUACCUACGACAUUUUUCAAACGCGAAAAGCAGCUGGUAACAAAAGAAGCUCAUCCCACACUCUCGUAAGCGUACAAUGAGUAACUUCGAUUAUGGACUCGCGGGAAAUCGAUCGAAGUACCAACACCCACGCAGUCUGUUCGUCUCCACGAUAGAUUCCCCGGAAAGACCACGGCACUCACCGAAGGUGACGAUCAACGGAAGAUAUCUCUGGCAGAAAUUCUAAUAUUAGCGCAGCGCAUUCUCCAGUCGAUACUCUAGACAUCCACCACUACCACUGGCUGGCACGCGCGACAGAGAUGGAAUAUAAGUGUGAGUAUGCGUGUGUGCACGCGACGAAGCUUGCGCUACUGGGAAAACGCUGCACAGCGUCUCACCUCACCUUUGGAAAGAACGAUUUCGCAAUCCCGUGACCAGGCGUCGCGGUUAGACGGCGUCGAACGUGAACCGUAAAUCUAUGCCGCAAAAUAAGACAACCGGCAACGUGAGAGUCAUCGCCACCGUUCUGCUACGAUAAUACGCGUACUAACACUUGCUAUGCCCUACUGUCCUAACGCCGAACCGCGCACACGCCGCACAGGGCAUUAUGCUACGGAGAUCACCAACUAUGGAAGUGGUGGGAUACGACGAUUCGAGGCACGUCAGAGGUGCGACCGGCGUGGCGCUAUCUGGAGUGACACGUGGAUACUCGUUAAUCUCAGGCUCGAAUACUCUGCUGGUAAAUUGAGCUUCGAUCGAGAAAAAUUGAAUUUUAAUCCGUUCGUAUCCGAGAGCAUUUGGUAUGAAGUAAUGGUGUACAAGGCUUGAGCCUUAGGGAUCUUUAGCUCAUACCUCAAACUAUAUUUGGCUUCUGAAAUUAAUUCUAUCAUUAGUGAACGCUACUAGAGUUCCAACUGUAUCUACUUUGAUGUGAGAAAUCGUAAAAUUGUCAUAAACAGAUUGCACAUAGGCUAUAUUACUGCUUUAAAACCGUAAUUGGAUUAAAUCACGCGGUAGGAGGUCGAGGCUCAACCUUCAAAGCUGAGUCCUCAAAGCUUGCGUAUAAUGCUAGUCUUCAAGGCUAGUGGGUUAUAGUAUUUGUGGCUUGAAACUUGGCUCGAGCUUCCCAGUCCAUCUCAACACAUUGUCAACAGGGGUCAUUGACAAUAGAGGUAUUUAAAACACCUGAAAACUGUAUGUAUAAAAUUAAUAUAAAUUUCUACUUUUCAGAUUAAAAGCAACUAUUCUUUAUGCGUGAAAGUUGUGUAGAACAUAUCUGUACAAUAUCUGAAUUAAAGAUGUAAAACUACUACACAGUUUUAGACGAGUAUCUUUAAUGAAAACUUUUAGUUACGUUAAUUUCGAUUUUAUGUAGAUGUAAUGCCAUUACUUCUAACGAUAUGUAUCCUCUAAAUAGUGGAUAAUGAAUAUAUUUUUCAAGUU